This 738-nucleotide long non-coding RNA is filed under the name Solanum lycopersicum (tomato). RNAcentral describes it as "long non-coding RNA (SLYC_LNC000823)". Lineage: Eukaryota; Viridiplantae; Streptophyta; Magnoliopsida; Solanales; Solanaceae. The record is from RNAcentral.
GGGAAAUGAGUCACAACCAUGUAGAAGAGCCACUCCAUCUUCUUGAAGCAUUUAGAACAAGACUUGUUUCACAACAGAGUGAAGUACGGAGCUUUCACCGUACUUGCACACCUCAAUGGCUAAAAAGGAAGAAAAGUAUAAGCAAUGAACGCGUUAACAUGAAAAGCUACAUUCACUCUUUUCGUUCAGUAACCGAUCUUAAAGCAAAAGGUAUUCAAUUCAAGCCUAGCUGCACUCAUUCACUCAAGGACAUAAAGUUCAAAUCAAGAUACUUCUAUGGACAGCUUGUACUUCCAACUUGGUAUGUUUCUAUCUACACUAAGGCGUUCUUCUUAAACAUGAUAGCCUACGAGAUGUGUCCAAAUACAGUUACUGAUCGCGCUGUGACAUCAUACGUAUACUUCAUGAAAUCACUAAUAGAGAGUCCAAGGGAUGUCAAGGAACUACGCGAAAUGCAAAUACUAUUCAACAUGCUUGGUAGCGACGAGGAAGUGGCAAGAAUGUACAAAGAGAUCAAUACGUAUGGAGUGAACAACGCGCACAUUUUCUACAAUGUGAAAGAAAAGAUUCAAGAACACUAUAAUAACAAGGCGAAAACAUGGAUAGCAGAGCUUAUACACACUUACUUUAGGAGUCCAUGGACUGCUUUAGCAUUACUUGCAGCUACUUUCUUGCUUUGCUUGACUUUUACACAAACUUAUUUUACAAUAAAUCCCAAUCCUAGAUUAUGAGAAAAUA